Molecule: ribosomal RNA, 567 nt
Filed under: Salmonella enterica subsp. enterica serovar Rissen
Lineage: Bacteria; Pseudomonadati; Pseudomonadota; Gammaproteobacteria; Enterobacterales; Enterobacteriaceae
Description: partial 23S ribosomal RNA
Rfam family: Bacterial large subunit ribosomal RNA
Source: RNAcentral
AGACCCGAAACCCGGUGAUCUAGCCAUGGGCAGGUUGAAGGUUGGGUAACACUAACUGGAGGACCGAACCGACUAAUGUUGAAAAAUUAGCGGAUGACCUGUGGCUGGGGGUGAAAGGCCAAUCAAACCGGGAGAUAGCUGGUUCUCCCCGAAAGCUAUUUAGGUAGCGCCUCGUGAAUUCAUCUCCGGGGGUAGAGCACUGUUUCGGCUAGGGGGCCAUCCCGGCUUACCAACCCGAUGCAAACUGCGAAUACCGGAGAAUGUUAUCACGGGAGACACACGGCGGGUGCUAACGUCCGUCGUGAAGAGGGAAACAACCCAGACCGCCAGCUAAGGUCCCAAAGUCAUGGUUAAGUGGGAAACGAUGUGGGAAGGCCCAGACAGCCAGGAUGUUGGCUUAGAAGCAGCCAUCAUUUAAAGAAAGCGUAAUAGCUCACUGGUCGAGUCGGCCUGCGCGGAAGAUGUAACGGGGCUAAACCAUGCACCGAAGCUGCGGCAGCGAACGUAUCACUUAAAGCGAUUCAGCGGAUGACGAUUGACGGAGCGAAGCGACGUCAAAGCGUAUAC